AGUGAACGCUGGCGGCAGGCCUAACACAUGCAAGUCGAACGGCAGCACAGUAAGCUCUCGCUCUUACGGGUGGCGGGUGACGGACGGGUGAGGCAUACAUCGGCAUCCACUUUUUCGUGGGGGAGAACGUAGGGCUACUUAUGCUACUACCUCAUACGUCCUACCGCUGAAUGCAGGGGAGCUUUGGUUUUUCCGCGUUUGGAUGAGCUGACGUCGGAUUAGCUGGUUGGCGGGGUAAAGGCCCACCAAGGCGACGACCCGUAGCCGGCCUGAGCGGAUGAUCAGCCACACUGGAACUGGGACACGGUCCAUGCUCCUACGGGAGGCAGCAGUGGGGAAUAUUGGACAAUGGGCGCAAGCCUGAUCCAGCGAUACCGCGUGGGUGAAGAAGGCCUUCGGGUUGUAAAGCCCUUUUGUUGGGAAAGAAAAGCAGCAGGUUAAUACCCCGCGAUUCUGACGGUACCCAAAGAAUAAGCACCGGCUAACUUCGUG
This 492-nucleotide ribosomal RNA is filed under the name uncultured bacterium. RNAcentral describes it as "partial 16S ribosomal RNA". It matches the Rfam family "Bacterial small subunit ribosomal RNA", at positions 29 to 507 of the family's 1533-position model. The record is from RNAcentral.